Molecule: ribosomal RNA, 484 nt
Filed under: uncultured bacterium
Lineage: Bacteria
Description: partial 16S ribosomal RNA
Rfam family: Bacterial small subunit ribosomal RNA
Source: RNAcentral
AUUGAACGCUGGCGGCAGGCCUAACACAUGCAAGUCGAGCGGAUGAAGGGAGCUUGCUCCUGGAUUCAGCGGCGGACGGGUGAGUAAUGCCUAGGAAUCUGCCUGGUAGUGGGGGAUAACGUCCGGAAACGGGCGCUAAUACCGCAUACGUCCUGAGGGAGAAAGUGGGGGAUCUUCGGACCUCACGCUAUCAGAUGAGCCUAGGUCGGAUUAGCUAGUUGGUGGGGUAAAGGCCUACCAAGGCGACGAUCCGUAACUGGUCUGAGAGGAUGAUCAGCCACACUGGAACUGAGACACGGUCCAGACUCCUACGGGAGGCAGCAGUGGGGAAUAUUGGACAAUGGGCGAAAGCCUGAUCCAGCCAUGCCGAGUGUGUGAAGAAGGUCUUCGGAUUGUAAAGCACUUUAAGUUGGGAGGAAGGGCAGUAAGUUAAUACCUUGCUGUUUUGACGUUACCAACAGAAUAAGCACCGGCUAACUUCGUG